This 72-nucleotide transfer RNA is filed under the name Camelus bactrianus (Bactrian camel). It matches the Rfam family "tRNA". From Rfam's summary of the family: Transfer RNA (tRNA) molecules are approximately 80 nucleotides in length. Their secondary structure includes four short double-helical elements and three loops (D, anti-codon, and T loops). Further hydrogen bonds mediate the characteristic L-shaped molecular structure. tRNAs have two regions of fundamental functional importance: the anti-codon, which is responsible for specific mRNA codon recognition, and the 3' end, to which the tRNAs corresponding amino acid is attached (by aminoacyl-tRNA synthetases). tRNAs cope with the degeneracy of the genetic code in two manners: having more than one tRNA (with a specific anti-codon) for a particular amino acid; and 'wobble' base-pairing, i.e. permitting non-standard base-pairing at the 3rd anti-codon position. Lineage: Eukaryota; Metazoa; Chordata; Mammalia; Artiodactyla; Camelidae. RNAcentral also lists the same sequence under 2 other names. The record is from Rfam by way of RNAcentral.
GAGGGUAGAGUUCAGUGGUAGAGUGCAUGCUUAGCAUGCAUGAGGUCCUGGGUUCAAUCCCCAGUACCUCCA